This 337-nucleotide unclassified non-coding RNA is filed under the name soil metagenome. Its description in RNAcentral is "partial contains 5.8S ribosomal RNA, internal transcribed spacer 2, and large subunit ribosomal RNA". The stretch from base 1 to 120 matches the Rfam family "5.8S ribosomal RNA", at positions 35 to 154 of the family's 154-position model. The record is from RNAcentral.
GAUGAAGAACGUAGUGAAAUGCGAUAAGUAGUGUGAAUUGCAGAAUUCAGUGAAUCAUCGAAUCUUUGAACGCACAUUGCGCCCCUUGGUAUUCCAUGGGGCAUGCCUGUUCGAGCGUCAUUUGUACCUUCAAGCUCUGCUUGGUGUUGGGUGUUUGUCUCGCCUCUGCGCGUAGACUCGCCUCAAAACAAUUGGCAGCCGGCGUAUUGAUUUCGGAGCGCAGUACAUCUCGCGCUUUGCACUCAUAACGACGACGUCCAAAAGUACAUUUUUACACUCUUGACCUCGGAUCAGGUAGGGAUACCCGCUGAACUUAAGCAUAUCAAUAAGCGGAGGA